GAUGAACGCUGACAGAAUGCUUAACACAUGCAAGUCAACUUGAAUUUGGGUUUUUAACUUAGAUUUGGGUGGCGGACGGGUGAGUAACGCGUAAAGAACUUGCCUCACAGCUAGGGACAACAUUUAGAAAUGAAUGCUAAUACCUGAUAUUAUGGUUAUAGGGCAUCUUAGAAUUAUGAAAGCUAUAUGCACUGUGAGAGAGCUUUGCGUCCCAUUAGCUAGUUGGAGAGGUAACAGCUCACCAAGGCGAUGAUGGGUAGCCGGCCUGAGAGGGUAAACGGCCACAAGGGGACUGAGACACGGCCCUUACUCCUACGGGAGGCAGCAGUGGGGAAUAUUGGACAAUGGACCGAGAGUCUGAUCCAGCAAUUCUGUGUGCACGAUGAAGUUUUUCGGAAUGUAAAGUGCUUUCAAUUGGGAAGAAAAAAAUGACGGUACCAACAGAAGAAGUGACGGCUAAAUACGUGCCAGCAGCCGCGGUAAUACGUAUGUCACGAGCGUUAUCCGGAUUUAUUGGGCGUAAAGCGCGUCUAGGUGGUUAUGUAAGUCUGAUGUGAAAAUGCAGGGCUCAACUCUGUAUUGCGUUGGAAACUGUAUAACUAGAGUACUGGAGAGGUAAGCGGAACUACAAGUGUAGAGGUGAAAUUCGUAGAUAUUUGUAGGAAUGCCGAUGGGGAAGCCAGCUUACUGGACAGAUACUGACGCUAAAGCGCGAAAGCGUGGGUAGCAAACAGG
This 735-nucleotide ribosomal RNA is filed under the name uncultured Fusobacterium sp. RNAcentral describes it as "bacterial SSU rRNA". It matches the Rfam family "Bacterial small subunit ribosomal RNA", at positions 28 to 776 of the family's 1533-position model. The record is from RNAcentral. Lineage: Bacteria; Fusobacteriati; Fusobacteriota; Fusobacteriia; Fusobacteriales; Fusobacteriaceae.